Molecule: small nuclear RNA, 104 nt
Organism: Suncus etruscus (white-toothed pygmy shrew)
Lineage: Eukaryota; Metazoa; Chordata; Mammalia; Eulipotyphla; Soricidae
Source: RefSeq, a predicted model, not a curated record
GUACUCGCUUUAGCAGCACAUAUACUAAAAUUGGAGCGAUACAGAGAUUAGCAUGGACUCUGUGCAAGGAUGAUAUGCAAAUUUGUGAAGAGUUCCAUAUUAAA